RNAcentral lists this ribosomal RNA (465 nucleotides) under Vreelandella stevensii. RNAcentral's name for it is "partial 16S ribosomal RNA". It matches the Rfam family "Bacterial small subunit ribosomal RNA", at positions 338 to 795 of the family's 1533-position model. The record is from RNAcentral. Lineage: Bacteria; Pseudomonadati; Pseudomonadota; Gammaproteobacteria; Oceanospirillales; Halomonadaceae.
CCUACGGGUGGCAGUAGUGGGGAAUAUUGGACAAUGGGCGAAAGCCUGAUCCAGCCAUGCCGCGUGUGUGAAGAAGGCCUUCGGGUUGUAAAGCACUUUCAGUGGGGAAGAAAGCCUUGGGGCUAAUACCCUCGAGGAAGGACAUCACCCACAGAAGAAGCACCGGCUAACUCCGUGCCAGCAGCCGCGGUAAUACGGAGGGUGCGAGCGUUAAUCGGAAUUACUGGGCGUAAAGCGCGCGUAGGCGGUCUGAUAAGCCGGUUGUGAAAGCCCCGGGCUCAACCUGGGAACGGCAUCCGGAACUGUCAGGCUAGAGUGCAGGAGAGGAAGGUAGAAUUCCCGGUGUAGCGGUGAAAUGCGUAGAGAUCGGGAGGAAUACCAGUGGCGAAGGCGGCCUUCUGGACUGACACUGACGCUGAGGUGCGAAAGCGUGGGUAGCAAACAGGAUUAGAUACCCCAGUAGUC